This 649-nucleotide long non-coding RNA is filed under the name Helianthus annuus (common sunflower). Lineage: Eukaryota; Viridiplantae; Streptophyta; Magnoliopsida; Asterales; Asteraceae. The record is from RNAcentral.
AUGUCUUCUAUCUUCGGUUUAGGCUCUUCAAUAAUCACUUGUGCCAUGUAAAUGACACAACCUUUCUUUAGACAUUUUGAAGCCUUGAGCAUAGUCACUUGCUCAGGCAAUCCGUACUGGGUAUCUCCCCGAAUGGUAAGCGAGUCACCAGACGGAGUCUUUAUCACCACUUAUUUUCUGUUGCAGACGAUUUGGGCCUGGUUGUGAGCUAACCAGUCCAUACCCAAUACUAUGUCAAAACCGGCCAAAUUAAAGGGAAGUAGAGAUAGAGGAAAAUAGUGGUUCUUAAUGGAUAUCUCACAUCCAUCUAACACAAUGGAGACGGUUUCUAUGGCAUAUUCUGUAAUUUGCAAAAUUUAUGAUCUACGAAAGACUUAUCAGCGCCCGAAUCAAAAAGUACUCUUGCAAAGAUAUUAUUUACGAGAAAAGUACCUGUGAUCACGUUAUCAUCUAGCACUGCUUCUUUCGCCUCCAUCCUGAAGACUCUUGCAUUGGUCUUCUUGGCUUCUUCAGGCUUCUUGGCAUAUUUAGGGCAGUUGCUUUUAAUGUGCCCUUUCUCGUUGCAGCCGUAGCAGGUUGCAUCCUUUAUCUUUUUGCAAUCCACGGUCUUGUGGUCCUUGGACUUGCAUAACCCGCAAGCAUACGACUU